This 72-nucleotide transfer RNA is filed under the name bacterium. RNAcentral describes it as "tRNA-Lys". It matches the Rfam family "tRNA". Rfam says of the family: Transfer RNA (tRNA) molecules are approximately 80 nucleotides in length. Their secondary structure includes four short double-helical elements and three loops (D, anti-codon, and T loops). The record is from RNAcentral.
GGUCCUGUAGCUCAACGGCAGAGCAGUUCCCUCUUAAGGAAAAGGUUGAAGGUUCGAAUCCUUCCAGGAUCA